UACGGGGGGGGCAAGCGUUGUUCGGAAUUACUGGGCGUAAAGGGCUCGUAGGUGGCCAACUAAGUCAGACGUGAAAUCACCAGGCUUAACCUGGGAACUGCGUCUGAUACUGGAUGGCUUGAAUUCGGGAGAGGGAUGCAGAAUUCCAGGUGUAGCGGUGAAAUGCGUAGAUAUCUGGAGGAAUACCAGUGGCGAAGGCGGCUCACUGGCCCGGUACUGACGCUGAGGCACGAAAGCGUGGGGAGCAAACAGG
Molecule: ribosomal RNA, 253 nt
Filed under: uncultured bacterium
Lineage: Bacteria
Description: partial 16S ribosomal RNA
Rfam family: Bacterial small subunit ribosomal RNA
Source: RNAcentral